Molecule: ribosomal RNA, 294 nt
Filed under: uncultured Syntrophus sp.
Lineage: Bacteria; Pseudomonadati; Thermodesulfobacteriota; Syntrophia; Syntrophales; Syntrophaceae
Description: partial 16S ribosomal RNA
Rfam family: Bacterial small subunit ribosomal RNA
Source: RNAcentral
CCCGCAACGAGUCGCAACCCUUGUCUUUAAUUGCCAUCAUUCAGUUGGGCACUUUAAGAGACUGCCGGUGUUAAACCGGAGGAAGUGGGGAUGACGUCAAGUCCUCAUGGCCUUUAUGCCCAGGGCUGCACACGUGCUACAAUGGGUGGUACAAAGAGAUGCAAUCUCGCAAGAGCAAGCAAACCUCAAAAAGCCAUCCUCAGUUCGGAUUGGAGUCUGCAACUCGACUCCAUGAAGUCGGAAUCGCUAGUAAUCGCGGAUCAGCACGCCGCGGUGAAUACGUUCCCAGGCCUU